RNAcentral lists this ribosomal RNA (502 nucleotides) under uncultured bacterium. RNAcentral's name for it is "bacterial SSU rRNA". It matches the Rfam family "Bacterial small subunit ribosomal RNA", at positions 18 to 518 of the family's 1533-position model. The record is from RNAcentral.
CCUGGCUCAGGAUGAACGCUAGCGGCAGGCCUAAUACAUGCAAGUCGGACGGGAUCCGCCUUCGGGGCGGUGAGAGUGGCGCACGGGUGCGUAACGCGUAUGCAACCAACCCCGUACCGGGGGACAGCCGGUGGAAACGCCGGGUAAUACCCCAUGCCGACCCUUGGGGGCAUCCCCGCGGGUCGAAAGCGGCGACGCGGUACGGGACGGGCAUGCGUCCCAUUAGCUAGUUGGCGGGGCGACGGCCCACCAAGGCGACGAUGGUAGGGGAUCUGAGAGGACGGUCCCCCACACUGGUACUGAGACACGGACCAGACUCCUACGGGAGGCAGCAGUAAGGAAUAUUGGGCAAUGGGGGGAACCCUGACCCAGCCAUGCCGCGUGAGGGAAUGAGGCCCUACGGGUCGUGAACCUCUUUUGCCGGGGGAUAAGGGCGCCGUCGCGAACGGCGCUUGCAGGUACCCGGCGAAUAAGCAUCGGCUAACUCCGUGCCAGCCGCGGC